UACGGGAGGCAGCAGUGGGGAAUUUUGGACAAUGGGCGCAAGCCUGAUCCAGCAAUGCCGCGUGUGUGAAGAAGGCCUUCGGGUUGUAAAGCACUUUUGUCCGGAAAGAAAACUUCGGGGUUAAUACCCCUGGAGGAUGACGGUACCGGAAGAAUAAGCACCGGCUAACUACGUGCCAGCAGCCGCGGUAAUACGUAGGGUGCGAGCGUUAAUCGGAAUUACUGGGCGUAAAGCGUGCGCAGGCGGUCCGCUAAGACCGAUGUGAAAUCCCCGGGCUUAACCUGGGAACUGCAUUGGUGACUGGCGGGCUAGAGUAUGGCAGAGGGGGGUAGAAUUCCACGUGUAGCAGUGAAAUGCGUAGAGAUGUGGAGGAAUACCGAUGGCGAAGGCAGCCCCCUGGGCCAAUACUGACGCUCAUGCACGAAAGCGUGGGGAGCAAACAGGAUUAGAUACCCUGGUAGUCCACGCCCUAAACGAUGUCAACUAGUUGUCGGGUCUUCAUUGACUUGGUAACGUAGCUAACGCGUGAAGUUGACCGCCUGGGGAGUACGGUCGCAAGAUUAAAACUCAAAGGAAUUGACGGGGACCCGCACAAGCGGUGGAUGAUGUGGAUUAAUUCGAUGCAACGCGAAAAACCUUACCUACCCUUGACAUGUAUGGAAUCCUGCUGAGAGGUGGGAGUGCCCGAAAGGGAGCCAUAACACAGGUGCUGCA
This 714-nucleotide ribosomal RNA is filed under the name Paraburkholderia sp. RNAcentral's name for it is "bacterial SSU rRNA". It matches the Rfam family "Bacterial small subunit ribosomal RNA", at positions 340 to 1045 of the family's 1533-position model. The record is from RNAcentral. Lineage: Bacteria; Pseudomonadati; Pseudomonadota; Betaproteobacteria; Burkholderiales; Burkholderiaceae.